GCCUCUGCUAAGAGGAGGAAGGAAUGGGCAACGGUAGGUCAGCAUGCCCCGAAUUAUCUGGGCUACACGCGGGCUACAAUGGGUGGGACAAUGGGUAUCGACACCGAAAGGUGAAGGCAAUCUCCUAAACCCAUCCGUAGUUCGGAUUGUGGGCUGCAACUCGCCCACAUGAAGCUGGAAUCUGUAGUAAUCGUGUCUCAAAAUGGCACGGUGAAUAUGUCCCUGCUCCCUU
RNAcentral lists this ribosomal RNA (232 nucleotides) under uncultured Methanomicrobiales archaeon. RNAcentral describes it as "partial 16S ribosomal RNA". It matches the Rfam family "Archaeal small subunit ribosomal RNA", at positions 1107 to 1338 of the family's 1478-position model. The record is from RNAcentral. Lineage: Archaea; Methanobacteriati; Methanobacteriota; Methanomicrobia; Methanomicrobiales.